This 402-nucleotide unclassified non-coding RNA is filed under the name soil metagenome. RNAcentral describes it as "partial contains 5.8S ribosomal RNA, internal transcribed spacer 2, and large subunit ribosomal RNA". The stretch from base 1 to 121 matches the Rfam family "5.8S ribosomal RNA", at positions 35 to 154 of the family's 154-position model. The record is from RNAcentral.
GAUGAAGAACGCAGCGAAAUGCGAUAAGUAAUGUGAAUUGCAGAAUUCAGUGAAUCAUCGAAUCUUUGAACGCACCUUGCGCCCCUUGGUUAUUCCGAAGGGCAUGCCUGUUUGAGUAUCAUGAACACCUCAACUCUUGUGGUUUCCCACAAUGAGCUUGGACCAUGGAGGUUUUUGUUGGCCCUCUGGUCAGCUCCUCUCAAAUGGAUCAGCUUACCGGUGUUUGGUGGCAUCAUGGGUGUGAUAACUAUCUACGCUUGUGGUCGUCUCCAAAUAACCUCCAGUGAUGGAGGUUCGCUGGAGCUUAUAAACGUCUCUCCCCAGUGAAGACAGCCUUUGAACGUUCGAUCUCAAAUCAGGUAGGACUACCCGCUGAACUUAAGCAUAUCAAUAAGCGGAGGA